Molecule: long non-coding RNA, 1443 nt
Organism: Neopsephotus bourkii (Bourke's parrot)
Lineage: Eukaryota; Metazoa; Chordata; Aves; Psittaciformes; Psittacidae
Exons: 2
Source: RefSeq, a predicted model, not a curated record
UUUUAAAAGGUUGCAGCAAAAGAACAGAAUAAUGCUACCACUUUGCACCUAACAGCUAGACACAGGGGAAGGAGCCCUGUUCACACAAGACUCACCGAUUUAAGCAGGAGGUGAACAAAUUUGGAGAAAAAUUGUCCCCCUGUAGCCAUGGUCACAGUGGUAGGACUUGAGUUCAAGGAAGGUCAUGCACUGCAGGUGCCCAACCAGGUCAGCAGAGAGAGACCAUAGCCACCACUCCACAGAGCCUGGCUGGGGUAGUGGGCUGCCACAGUCCCUCGGCACCUCUGGAGUUGCGCAGUGGGAUGCCAGCAGAUGUCUUGCAAGCUCUACAGGAUGCUAAGCUCAACACCAGCUGACAGAAAUGCCUUCCAAGGCCUUUGUUCGAACAACAGGGCAUCUUAGGUGGUGUUAAAAGUUUUGGCCAGCCUUCUAACCUAGGCUAAUGGAACAUUUUCUCAGAAGAAAAUACUCCAGUCCUGGUUUUCGGACUCCAGGGAAACCAGGAAAUGAAGUUGAGGAUCAGAUUUAGUAGCUGGUUAUGCCAUUUGAUCAUGCAAAGCUCCCAGGAAAGAACCACAAGCAAAAAGAAAACAGAAAACUGUAAAGACAAGGGCUUCCAGUGCAAAAUUUGACUCCAGGGUGCCAAAUGAAAGUAGAAAAACAUAAAAAAUACAAAACUUGAAUAAUUUUUUAUCUUUAUUUCCUGAAAACUCUAGCUGACAGUCACAUCUCACCUAAAUUCUAAUACAUGUUUUUUCCUGAUUUAUAUGCAAAACAAAUAAAAUUACUGCUUUGUUACCUGAAGGUGCUAUCUGUGUUUCUUCUCUUACUUUCAGAUAUCUUUGUUUCUGUGCUGUUGCUCAGACUCUCCUUUCCCCAUGUCACCAGUAUUGUCUUCCAAUCCUUCUGUUCUAACACCUUCUCUAAAUUAGGUUUUCUUUCAGAGUGUUUUUUCUCUUUCUUUCUGUAUUGUCAGUGUACAAUCUCAAUUGUACCUAGUAACUGUCAGUGUAACUUGAAAGGCUAGAGCACAGUGGACUGGAUGUCUGAGAGUCAGUGUUCUUUGCAACUGCUAAUAGCUUGAGCAGGUCUGUUUUUCAAUAUUACACAUUUUCACCCCAUUUCUAUUAAUGCAGGUAGAGCUAUCCGCCUUUCUCGGCAAAUUGUCAUGAUGUUCCAAGAGCUAUAUAGAUAGCAAACAAUGUUGGUAGCAGAAAAAGAGGAAAGAUUCCAUCAUCAGAACAAAAUGGACCUAAAGGUUUUAUAAAUGAAAGGCCAAUUAUUCUCUGAGGUUCAUGGGGGGCCACUUGGACUGUAAUCAGUCUUGAGAAUGUGAAGGCAGAGCAGGACCUUGACUGUCUGUAUCUGGACUUUGUCAGGCCAUUCAUCUGUGACCAGAAUUGUAUCGUUACUCUGGUUUUCAAUAAAGGGAUGUUCACCGAA